Juglans microcarpa x Juglans regia is the source of this 4886-nucleotide RNA transcript. It is a transcript of the gene named ABC transporter D family member 1-like, with no coding region annotated. The transcript is spliced from 26 exons. Lineage: Eukaryota; Viridiplantae; Streptophyta; Magnoliopsida; Fagales; Juglandaceae. The record is from RefSeq and is a predicted model, not a curated record.
UCGUCAUUAAACCAUUUGCUAUAAACUCGUACAACUCGCUCUCUUUCUCUCUCUUCCUCUGCUCUUCGAUUCGGAGUUUGGUUGUUCUUCGGCCAUUCAUACGGUUAACUUGGAUUUAAAAAUACUAGGGUUCUAGAUCGUCCCUUCCGCGGAAGAUCUUUGUAUCCGCCUGAUUCAUUGUCUUAGACGCUGGGCUUAGACUGGCAGAUGGGAGUGAGACAGAAGAUAAGGAGCUCCAUUUCUUAUGGCUGCGUUUCUGUUUCUUGCUAAUUAUGAGAUGAUCAUACCUGAAUUACUUUUAAUAUUUUCAAGAAGUUUUGGCUCCUGGAGAUUAGAGGAAGCUAUCACAGCUGCUGAUAUUUGUUGAUAAGGGAAGGUUGAUCUUCAGCCAUGCCUUCUCUUCAACUUUUGCAAUUAACUGAGCAUGGUAGAAGUUUUUUGGCUUCGAGAAGGAAAACUCUACUUCUUGCCACUGGUAUCCUAGCUGCUGGAGGAACUGCUGCAUAUGUUCAAUCAAGGUUUAGCUGUAGAAAGCCCAAUUCUUUUAGUCAUUAUAAUGGGCUUAAUGAUGCUCAACAAAAAUCAGAGAAGGUGCCUAGGGAUGCCAAUAAUGUAAAGAAAACGAAACGAAAGAAAGGAGGAUUGAAGUCAAUUCAAGUCCUUGCUGGAGUCCUACUGUUUGAGAUGGGAAAAAUGGGUACGAGGGACCUCUUAGCUUUACUGGCCAUGGUGGUGUUGCGAACUGCUUUAGGAAACAGGCUGGCAAAAGUGCAGGGAUUUUUAUUCCGCGCUGCUUUUCUUCGACGUGUACCAUUAUUUUUCCGGUUGAUUUCUGAAAAUAUUAUAUUAUGUUUUCUUCUUUCAGCCAUGCAUUCGACCUCAAAUUACAUUACAGGGACCCUUAGUUUGCGGUUCAGAAAGAUAUUGACGAGACUUAUCCAUGCUCAUUAUUUUGAGAAUAUGGCUUAUUACAAAAUAUCACAUGUUGAUGGACGGAUAAAUAAUCCUGAACAACGAAUUGCAAGUGAUGUACCGAGGUUCUGUUCAGAGUUGAGUGAGCUUGUACAGGAUGAUCUAACCGCAGUGACUGAUGGUCUGCUCUAUACUUGGCGUCUAUGUUCUUAUGCCAGCCCCAAAUAUGUCUUCUGGAUUUUGGCCUACGUAGCAGGAGCAGGGGCCAUGAUUAGAAACUUUUCUCCUGCUUUUGGGAAACUUAUGUCUGAAGAACAACAAUUGGAAGGUGACUAUCGACAGCUUCAUUCACGAUUAAGGACACAUGCAGAAAGUAUAGCAUUUUAUGGCGGAGAAAGGAGAGAAGAAUCUCAUAUUCAGCAGAAGUUUAAAACCCUGAUUAGGCACAUGAGUGUUGUCCUUCAUGAUCAUUGGUGGUUUGGCAUGAUUCAGGAUUUCUUACUAAAGUAUCUUGGUGCUACAGUUGCCGUUAUCUUAAUCAUUGAGCCCUUCUUUUCUGGCCAUCUGCGACCUGACACUUCAACCAUUGGGCGUGCAGAGAUGUUGAGCAAUUUAAGAUACCAUACGAGUGUUAUAAUUUCACUAUUUCAGUCUCUUGGGACUCUUUCUAUUAGUUCAAGACGACUUAAUCGUCUCAGUGGUUAUGCUGACCGCAUUCAUGAGUUAAUCAUCACAUCAAGAGAGCUAAGUAUGGUUAAUGAUAAAUCUUCUCUACUGAGAGAUGGGAGCUCUAAUUACAUUAGUGAAGCUAAUUACAUUGAGUUUGCUGGUGUCAAGGUUGUUACCCCCUCUGGUAAUGUCUUGGUGGAUGAUUUGACUCUUAGGGUUGAAUCAGGAUCUAAUCUUUUGAUUACAGGUCCCAAUGGUAGUGGAAAGAGCUCACUUUUUCGAGUUUUAGGAGGCCUCUGGCCUCUAGUAUCUGGCCACAUUGUGAAACCUGGGGUUGGUUCUGAUCUUAAUAAGGAGAUUUUCUAUGUGCCACAACGACCAUACACUGCUGUAGGAACACUUAGGGAUCAGUUAAUUUAUCCUCAUACUGUAGAUCAAGAGGUUGAGCCUCUCACUCCUAGUGAAAUGGUGGAGCUAUUGAAAAAUGUUGACCUUGAGUACCUGUUAGAGCGUUACCCACCUGAAAAAGAGAUUAACUGGGGAGAUGAACUAUCUCUGGGCGAGCAACAAAGAUUGGGGAUGGCCAGACUGUUCUACCAUAAGCCUAAAUUUGCAAUUCUUGAUGAGUGCACGAGUGCAGUCACAACUGAUAUGGAGGAACGCUUUUGCGCGAAAGUCCGAGCAAUGGGAACAUCAUGCAUAACUAUAUCACAUCGACCAGCACUAGUUGCAUUUCAUGACGUGGUGUUGUCUUUGGAUGGUGAAGGAGGCUGGAGUGUUCAUUUUAAAAUAGAAGAUUCUCCUGUCCUUAGGGAAGCAGAUAUAACUAUGGUGAAGAGUCCUGACACAGAACGCCAGAGUGGUGCAAUGGCUGUACAACGAGCAUUUGCGACAGCUGGAAAGGUUAAAAUUUUAAAUUUCAGUUGUUGUCAUGGCUGUCUUCUUUUAUACCAUUAUUCUUUAUACAACCCUUCAAUUCUUUCUGUCCAGAAUUCUACUCGCUCAAGUUCCAAAGCACAAUCAUACAUAACUGAGGUGAUAGCAGUGUCUCCUCCUGUGAAUGAAACAGUUCCAUUGGCAGUGUUUCCACAAAUCCAAAUGACGCCAAGGUUAUUGUCAUUGAGAGUAGCUGCCAUGUUCAAAAUACUGGUACCAACAUUACUUGAUAGACAAGGAGCACAAUUCCUUGCGGUUGCUCUUCUCGUUGUAUCAAGAACAUGGAUCUCUGAUCGAAUUGCCUCACUGAAUGGAACCACCGUGAAGUUUGUUUUGGAGCAGGAUAAGGCAUCCUUUAUUCGGCUAAUUGGUGUUAGUGUUCUUCAAAGUGCUGCUUCUUCUUUCGUUGCACCUUCUUUAAGGCACUUGAAAGCCAGGCUAGCCCUUGGGUGGAGGAUCCGUUUGACUCAACAUUUACUGAAGAACUAUUUGAGAAAUAAUGCAUUUUAUAAGGUCUUUCAAAUGUCAAGCAAAAAUAUUGAUGCAGAUCAGAGAAUUACUCAUGAUCUGGAAAAGUUGACCACGGAUUUGUCGGGACUGGUUACUGGAAUGGUAAAGCCAUCUGUGGACAUUCUCUGGUUCACGUGGAGAAUGAAGCUGUUAACAGGUCAGAGGGGAGUUGCCAUAUUGUAUGCCUAUAUGUUACUGGGUCUGGGUUUUCUAAGAACUGUAGCUCCUGACUUCGGUGAUCUGGCAAGUAAAGAACAACAACUUGAAGGAACCUUUAGGUUCAUGCAUGAAAGACUGCGCACUCAUGCUGAAUCUGUUGCUUUCUUUGGGGGUGGUGCUCGAGAAAAAGCUAUGAUUGAGUCGAGAUUCAGGGAGCUUCUCAAUCACUCCAUGUCACUUUUGAAAAAGAAAUGGCUGUUUGGUAUACUUGAUGAUUUUACCACAAAGCAACUCCCACAUAAUGUGACUUGGGGGUUGAGCUUGUUAUAUGCCAUGGAACACAAGGGUGACCGAGCGUUGGUUUCUACUCAGGGUGAGCUGGCACAUGCAUUGCGGUUCUUAGCUUCUGUUGUAUCUCAAAGCUUUUUAGCUUUUGGUGACAUUCUUGAAUUGCAUAAAAAAUUCCUUGAGCUCUCUGGUGGCAUUAACCGAAUUUUUGAGCUUGAAGAGCUUCUACAUGCUGCACAGUCUGCGGACUCUAUGUCUGAUAUCAAGUCACCAUCAGACAGGAGAGAUCAUUACUCUGAAGACAGCAUUUCCUUCUUUGAAGUGGAUACCAUUACCCCAGCACAGAAAAUGUUGGCUAGGCAGUUGACAUGUGACAUAGUACCAGGGAAAAGCUUGCUUGUUACUGGUCCAAAUGGGAGUGGGAAAAGUUCAGUCUUCAGAGUCCUUAGAGGUCUAUGGCCUGUUGUAAGCGGAAGACUCACUAAACCAUCCCAAGGUAUCGAUGAAGUGGCUGGAUCUGGCUGUGGUGUUUUCUAUGUUCCUCAGCGACCUUACACAUGCUUAGGAACCCUGAGGGAUCAAAUUAUAUAUCCUCUCUCCUAUGAGGAGGCGGAAUUGAGGGCAUUAAAGUUGUAUGGAAAAGGUCAAAACACUCCUGACACCAAGAUUGUACUGGAUUCAUGCUUGAAAACUAUUUUGGAGAAUGUUCGAUUAAAUUAUCUUUUGGAUAGAGAUGAAGGUGGUUGGGAUGCUAGUCUAAAUUGGGAAGAUACUCUUUCUCUUGGAGAACAGCAGAGAUUGGGCAUGGCACGCUUAUUCUUUCACAAGCCUAAAUUUGGCAUCCUUGAUGAGUGCACCAACGCAACCAGUGUUGAUGUCGAAGAACACCUUUAUAGGCUUGCAACAAAUUCGGGCAUCACAGUUGUUACCUCCUCACAACGUCCGGCCCUAAUACCAUUCCAUUCCAUGGAAUUACGGCUAAUUGAUGGUGAGGGCAAAUGGGAACUUCGUUUGAUCAAGCGAUGAAUUCCACUCUACUAGCAUCUGCAGUUGUGACUUCCUUUUUUUUUUUGCUGUUCAAUUCUUACACAAUGCGGUGGGAACAAGACAACGUUGGCUUUGCCAAUCAAAGAUUUCUUUUUAUAGCUACUCAUGUCAUGCUACUGGCCAAGAUGGUGUUAGGAUUACGAAUGUGAAAUGUUAGGCUUGAAAGAGAACUAUAAUGACAUGUUAAGAUCUGAUCCUUUACCAUAAACAAGAACUUUAUGAUCUAACCUAAAAUUGAAUUUUGUAAUUUUCUUUGCAUGCUAACAUUUCUCGUUACAAAUUAUUUUCUAGUAGCCAACCAUUUACAUCUUUUUGUAACAAGAUGAAAAAGAUAUUUAUCCACGCAAAGAUUAGGAUUUGACUUA